UGAUAUGCUAGAGUGUCGGUUCU
RNAcentral lists this microRNA (23 nucleotides) under Tribolium castaneum (red flour beetle). RNAcentral describes it as "tca-miR-11624a-3p". Lineage: Eukaryota; Metazoa; Arthropoda; Insecta; Coleoptera; Tenebrionidae. The record is from miRBase by way of RNAcentral.